RNAcentral lists this small RNA (2338 nucleotides) under Pan troglodytes (chimpanzee). RNAcentral describes it as "retained intron". Lineage: Eukaryota; Metazoa; Chordata; Mammalia; Primates; Hominidae. The record is from RNAcentral.
GCGGGAACAAUCCAGAGGGACGCUUGGCUGCUACGCGGGAUUGCAGUGGUGCAGCCAGCCCCGAAGUCGGAAGGUGCUCUCUAGGGACUACAGGAAGAUAAAGUUUGUGCUUGAUUUGGAAUUAGCUAGAUCCUUUGGGGGAGAGGGGAUCGAGCCGAUUUCGGGAGGAUGUUCACUGCGCGGAUGAUGCUCAGGCCAUCGGGAAAUCCAGAAACAGGCGACGAUCUUCGUCAAGAGAAAAAUGAUCCUAUGGAGAAAAGUAAAUGUCGCUAGGUUGGGAUGGAUGGUAACAGGCCAAGCCCCGGACCUAUAUCUAGCCACAUUUUUUGUCAAGGAGGAAACCAAUUCUAUAGAGAAAAGUACCUCCCUGUCCCUUGCAAGGACCAGUGUCAGGCAAUCUUAGUGCCACUGUCUGGCUACUGCAUGUCAAGGAGCCAAUCCCAUGUAGAAAUAAACUGCCUCUUACUCCCUGGAUGCUAUAGCCUGAAGCAGGCCACACUCCCCAGAAAUGAGGGACCCAAUCACACAAGGAUGCAAAUCCUGACUCCACCCCUCCAAUCCUCAGUGGAGCUGGUCGCAGAUCCUGAGACCCGGACAGUGGCAGUGAAACAGCUGGGAGUUAACCCCUCAACUACCGGGACCCAGGAGUUGAAGCCGGGGUUGGAGGGCUCUCUGGGGGUGGGGGACACACUGUAUUUGGUCAAUGGCCUCCACCCACUGACCCUGCGCUGGGAAGAGACCCGCACACCAGAAUCCCAGCCAGAUACUCCGCCUGGCACCCCUCUGGUGUCCCAAGACGAGAAGAGAGAUGCUGAGCUGCCGAAGAAGCGUAUGCGGAAGUCAAACCCCGGCUGGGAGAACUUGGAGAAGUUGCUAGUGUUCACCGCAGCUGGGGUGAAACCCCAGGGCAAGGUGGCUGGCUUUGAUCUGGACGGGACCCUCAUCACCACACGCUCUGGGAAGGUCUUUCCCACUGGCCCCAGUGACUGGAGGUGAUAAGAGGCAAAACAAGGGAGUGAGUGAGGCCUGGAGUCCACCUCUGGCCCCGGGUCACCCCUGCCGCUUCAUACUUGCCGUAGGAUCUUGUACCCAGAGAUUCCCCGUAAGCUCCGAGAGCUGGAAGCCGAGGGCUACAAGCUGGUGAUCUUCACCAACCAGAUGAGCAUCGGGCGCGGGAAGCUGCCAGCCGAGGAGUUCAAGGCCAAGGUGGAGGCUGUGGUGGAGAAGCUGGGGGUCCCCUUCCAGGUGCUGGUGGCCACGCACGCAGGCUUGUACCGGAAGCCGGUGACGGGCAUGUGGGACCAUCUGCAGGAGCAGGCCAACGACGGCGCGCCCAUAUCCAUCGGGGACAGCAUCUUUGUGGGAGACGCAGCCGGACGCCCGGCCAACUGGGCCCCGGGGCGGAAGAAGAAAGACUUCUCCUGCGCCGAUCGCCUGGUGAGGCCCCUGCCCCCUGCCCCGCGCCCGAGCCCGAGCCUGGCCUGUGUCUGAUGUUCGUCCUCAACCCCUAGUUUGCCCUCAACCUUGGCCUGCCCUUCGCCACCCCUGAGGAGUUCUUUCUGAAGUGGCCAGCAGCAGGCUUCGAGCUCCCAGCCUUUGAUCCGAGGACUGUCUCCCGCUCAGGGCCUCUCUGCCUCCCCGAGUCCAGGGCCCUCCUGAGCGCUAGCCCGGAGGUGGUUGUCGCAGUGGGAUUCCCUGGGGGUAAGUGUCCUGUCCCUGUGCCCUGAGCCCCGCCUGGGUCCUAGGCCACCCACCGACACUGCUCCCCACACAGCCGGGAAGUCCACCUUUCUCAAGAAGCACCUCGUGUCGGCCGGAUAUGUCCACGUGAACAGGGACACGCUAGGCUCCUGGCAGCGCUGUGUGACCACCUGUGAGACAGCCCUGAAGCAAGGGAAACGGGUCGCCAUCGACAACACAAACCCGGACGCUGCGAGCCGCGCCAGGUAGCGUGACCGUAGGUAGGGCCGUAGGGGGCCUGUGGCGGGGUGGGCGGGGCCUGCACAUCCAGCUCCUUCCCCCACAGGUACGUCCAGUGUGCCCGAGCCGCGGGCGUCCCCUGCCGCUGCUUCCUCUUCACCGCCACUCUGGAGCAGGCGCGCCACAACAACCGGUUUCGAGAGAUGACAGACUCCUCUCAUAUCCCCGUGUCAGACAUGGUCAUGUAUGGCUACAGGAAGCAGUUCGAGGCCCCAACGCCGGCGGAAGGCUUCUCUGCCAUCCUGGAGAUCCCGUUCCGGCUAUGGGUGGAGCCGAGGCUGGGGCGGCUGUACUGCCAGUUCUCCGAGGGCUGAGCCCCACCCAGCUCCCCUCCACAAUAAAUGCUGUUUCUCCUUGA